RNAcentral lists this ribosomal RNA (468 nucleotides) under uncultured bacterium. Its description in RNAcentral is "partial 16S ribosomal RNA". It matches the Rfam family "Bacterial small subunit ribosomal RNA", at positions 28 to 507 of the family's 1533-position model. The record is from RNAcentral.
GACGAACGCUGGCGGCGUGCUUAACACAUGCAAGUCGAACGGAAAGGCCCUGCUUUUGUGGGGUGCUCGAGUGGCGAACGGGUGAGUAACACGUGAGUAACCUGCCCUUGACUUUGGGAUAACUUCAGGAAACUGGGGCUAAUACCGGAUAGGAGCUCCUGCUGCAUGGUGGGGGUUGGAAAGUUUCGGCGGUUGGGGAUGGACUCGCGGCUUAUCAGCUUGUUGGUGGGGUAGUGGCUUACCAAGGCUUUGACGGGUAGCCUGCCUGAGAGGGUGACCGGCCACAUUGGGACUGAGAUACGGCCCAGACUCCUACGGGAGGCAGCAGUGGGGAAUAUUGCACAAUGGGCGGAAGCCUGAUGCAGCAACGCCGCGUGCUGGAUGACGGCCUUCGGGUUGUAGACCGCUUUCGCCUGUGACGAAGCGUGAGUGACGGUAAUGGGUAAAGAAGCACCGGCUAACUACGUG